GAUCUGGCUCAGGACGAACGCUGGCGGCGUGCUUAACACAUGCAAGUCGAACGAGAAUCUGCGGAAAGAGGAUUCGUCCAAUUGAAGCAGAGGACAGUGGCGGACGGGUGAGUAACGCGUGAGGAACCUGCCUUUCAGAGGGGGACAACAGUUGGAAACGACUGCUAAUACCGCAUAACAUAUAGAUGUCGCAUGGCAUUUAUAUCAAAGAUUUAUCGCUGAAAGAUGG
RNAcentral lists this ribosomal RNA (229 nucleotides) under uncultured bacterium. RNAcentral's name for it is "partial 16S ribosomal RNA". It matches the Rfam family "Bacterial small subunit ribosomal RNA", at positions 15 to 228 of the family's 1533-position model. The record is from RNAcentral.